RNAcentral lists this long non-coding RNA (718 nucleotides) under Olea europaea subsp. europaea. Lineage: Eukaryota; Viridiplantae; Streptophyta; Magnoliopsida; Lamiales; Oleaceae. The record is from RNAcentral.
UUCCCGAUGAGUUUGGUAUCUUAGACGGUUGAUGACAAUUGUCCAUGCAACAACACGUAUGUGUUGUGUGCCCACAACUACACACAGUACACUUCUAAAAUAGUUUAGAUUUUCCCCUUAGCUUGUCAUUGUUCUGAUGCUUAUCCCGUAAAUCUUCUUGUUGAUAAAUGUUCUUCAGCGAUGCAAAAGACACUUGAUGGUCCAUAGAUGGACUUUGGAGGGGUGUUGUGGGACUGGCCAAAACAUCAUUCCCAGUUCUAUUGGUAUAGCAAAGGUAUGCAGUAGUCUCCAUUUGAAAAUUUUAUUAAUCUGCAAAUAUUUAUGUAAUAUCUGAUGAUAGUUGUUGACUGAACUCUUAUGUUGCUGGAAAAGUACUUCCAGAACUUAACGACAAGCUUACUAGAAUGGUUUUCCAUGUCCCGACCCCUAAUGUCUCUGUUGUAGAUCUAACUUGUCGACUUGAGAAGAGUGCUUCUUUUUUACAAAGGAGGUACAGUUCGAAGAUUGGCUCUUCACUUUACAGGUUAGAGUAAAACUCAUUUUUUUUGGUGCAGCAAUAUCAUUUGCAGAUAAUAUUUUACGAUUGUUGACGGACUCCCAACUAUUAAAUAUUGGAUUCGUAUAGCAGUUUCAAUUUUAAACUAUUCUUUUUGAAAUUUUUCUUAAGUUUCUAUUAGUACUUGAAUCCACUAAAAUCCCAUUUAUGGUAGUUCAAAAG